RNAcentral lists this transfer RNA (63 nucleotides) under Tremex columba (pigeon tremex). RNAcentral's name for it is "tRNA-Glu". Lineage: Eukaryota; Metazoa; Arthropoda; Insecta; Hymenoptera; Siricidae. The record is from RNAcentral.
AUUUAUUUAAUUUAUACAAAAAUAUUAUAUUUUCAAUAUAAAAAAAGAAUUUUCUAAUAAAUU